CCUACGGGGUGCAGCAGUGGGGUAUAUUCGACAAUGGGCGAAAGCCUGAUCCAGCAAUGCCGCGUGUGUGAAGAAGGUCUUCGGAUUGUAAAGCACUUUCGACGGGGACGAUGAUGACGGUACCCGUAGAAGAAGCCCCGGCUAACUUCGUGCCAGCAGCCGCGGUAAUACGAAGGGGGCUAGCGUUGCUCGGAAUGACUGGGCGCAAAGGGCGCGUAGGCGGUUUAUGCAGUCAGAUGUGAAAUCCCCGGGCCUAACCUGGGAACUGCAUUUGAGACGCAUAGACUAGAGGUCGAGAGAGGGUCGUGGAAUUCCCAGUGUAGAGGUGAAAUUCGUAGAUAUUGGGAAGAACACCGGUGGCGAAGGCGGCAACCUGGCUCGAUACUGACGCUGAGGCGCGAAAGCUAGGGGAGCGAAUGGGAUUAGAUACCCUAGUAGUC
RNAcentral lists this ribosomal RNA (440 nucleotides) under uncultured bacterium. Its description in RNAcentral is "bacterial SSU rRNA". It matches the Rfam family "Bacterial small subunit ribosomal RNA", at positions 338 to 795 of the family's 1533-position model. The record is from RNAcentral.